This 693-nucleotide ribosomal RNA is filed under the name uncultured bacterium. Its description in RNAcentral is "bacterial SSU rRNA". It matches the Rfam family "Bacterial small subunit ribosomal RNA", at positions 141 to 851 of the family's 1533-position model. The record is from RNAcentral.
GGAUAACAGUUAGAAAUGACUGCUAAUACCGCAUAAGCGCACAAAACUGCAUGGUUUGGUGUGAAAAACUGAGGUGGUAUGAGAUGGACCCGCGUCUGAUUAGCUAGUUGGAGAGGUAACGGCUCACCAAGGCAACGAUCAGUAGCCGACCUGAGAGGGUGACCGGCCACAUUGGGACUGAGACACGGCCCAAACUCCUACGGGAGGCAGCAGUGGGGAAUAUUGCACAAUGGGGGAAACCCUGAUGCAGCAACGCCGCGUGAGUGAAGAAGUAUUUCGGUAUGUAAAGCUCUAUCAGCAGGGAAGAAGAGAGACGGUACCUGACUAAGAAGCCCCGGCUAACUACGUGCCAGCAGCCGCGGUAAUACGUAGGGGGCAAGCGUUAUCCGGAUUUACUGGGUGUAAAGGGAGCGUAGACGGCUUGAUAAGUCUGAAGUGAAAGGCCAAGGCUUAACCAUGGAACUGCUUUGGAAACUAUGAGGCUAGAGUGCUGGAGAGGUAAGCGGAAUUCCUAGUGUAGCGGUGAAAUGCGUAGAUAUUAGGAGGAACACCAGUGGCGAAGGCGGCUUACUGGACAGAAACUGACGUUGAGGCUCGAAAGCGUGGGGAGCAAACAGGAUUAGAUACCCUGGUAGUCCACGCGGUAAACGAUGAAUGCUAGGUGUUGGUGGGCAAAGCCCAUCGGUGCCGUCG